CCCACUAAGCUUCAGCUUAAGAAAAACCGUACCGCAAACCGACACAGGUAGGCAGGGUGAGAAUCCCAAGGCGCUUGAGAGAACUCGGGUGAAGGAACUAGGCAAAAUGGCACCGUAACUUCGGGAGAAGGUGCGCCCUUUGGUGUGGUCACGUGCGUGACUGAGCAUCGAAGGGUCGCAGUAACCUGGCCGCUGCGACUGUUUAUCAAAAACACAGCACUCUGCAAACACGAAAGUGGACGUAUAGGGUGUGACGCCUGCCCGGUGCUGGAAGGUUAAUUGAUGGGGUCAGCCGCAAGGCGAAGCUCUUGAUCGAAGCCCCAGUAAACGGCGGCCGUAACGAUAACGGUCCUAAGGUAGCGAAAUUCCUUGUCGGGUAAGUUCCGACCUGCACGAAUGGCGUAACGACAGCGGCGCUGUCUCCACCCGAGACUCAGUGAAAUUGAAAUCGCUGUGAAGAUGCAGCGUUCCCGCGGCAAGACGGAAAGACCCCGUGAACCUUUACUAUAGCUUUACACUGAACGUUGAGUUCUUCUGUGUAGGAUAGGUGGGAGGCUAUGAAACCAGGACGCUAGUUCUGGUGGAGCCAUCCUUGAAAUACCACCCUGAAGUGCUUGACGUUCUAACCUAGGCCCGUAAUCCGGGUCAGGGACCGUGUAUGGUGGGUAGUUUGACUGGGGCGGUCUCCUCCCAAAGAGUAACGGAGGAGCACGAAGGUACGCUCAGCGCGGUCGGACAUCGCGCACUGUGUGCAAAGGCAUAAGCGUGCUUGACUGCGAGAUCGACGGAUCAAGCAGGUACGAAAGUAGGUCUUAGUGAUCCGGUGGUUCUGUAUGGAAGGGCCAUCGCUCAACGGAUAAAAGGUACUCCGGGGAUAACAGGCUGAUACCGCCCAAGAGUUCAUAUCGACGGCGGUGUUUGGCACCUCGAUGUCGGCUCAUCACAUCCUGGGGCUGUAGCCGGUCCCAAGGGUAUGGCUGUUCGCCAUUUAAAGUGGUACGCGAGCUGGGUUCAGAACGUCGUGAGACAGUUCGGUCCCUAUCUGUCGUGGGCGUUGGAGAUUUGAGGGGGGCUGCUCCUAGUACGAGAGGACCGGAGUGGACGUUCCGCUGGUGUUCGGGUUGUCAUGCCCAUGGCAUUGCCCGGUAGCUACGAACGGAAGUGAUAACCGCUGAAAGCAUCUAAGCGGGAAGCACGCCCCAAGAUGAGAUCUCCCGAGAGCUUGACUCUCCUAAAGGCACCAUCAAGACUAGGUGGUUGAUAGGUCAGGUGUGGAAGCGCAGCAAUGCGUUGAGCUAACUGAUACUAAUGAGCCGUGAGGCUUGACCC
This 1329-nucleotide ribosomal RNA is filed under the name metagenome. Its description in RNAcentral is "bacterial LSU rRNA". It matches the Rfam family "Bacterial large subunit ribosomal RNA", at positions 1617 to 2925 of the family's 2925-position model. The record is from RNAcentral.